This is a non-coding RNA of Acanthosepion pharaonis, 103 nucleotides long. The record is from the annotation of a GenBank genome assembly. NCBI's taxonomy places the organism in Eukaryota, Metazoa, Mollusca, Cephalopoda, Sepiida, Sepiidae.
GUUGAAAACACCGGUUCCCGUACGAUCACUGAAGUUAAGAAAAGUUGAGCCUAUUCAGUACUUAAAUGGGUGACAGUUUUUUGGGAAUACCAGGUUCUGUAUG